ACGGCGAUGGUGUAAUAGGCAAACACGCCUAAUAAAAUUUAUUGGUUGAGUAGUGCAGGUUCGAAUCCUGCCGCCGAA
Molecule: transfer RNA, 78 nt
Filed under: Lachnospiraceae bacterium
Lineage: Bacteria; Bacillati; Bacillota; Clostridia; Lachnospirales; Lachnospiraceae
Description: tRNA-OTHER
Source: RNAcentral